Molecule: non-coding RNA, 549 nt
Organism: Paramuricea clavata
Lineage: Eukaryota; Metazoa; Cnidaria; Anthozoa; Malacalcyonacea; Plexauridae
Source: the annotation of a GenBank genome assembly
GAAAAUUACAUACUUAAAUUAUACAAAAACAUCAAAAUAAAAAUAGGUUUCAUAUAUUGUGCAUGAAAUAUUUAAAAGUUAAAAAUUUUCCGCGCUUGUAUAACUGCGACAACAAACUAUCGCUUGCUUGUAUUUCAUGUGUAGAUUUGGCAUGCACAUGUCAAAAAUAAGGCCAAAAAAAUGUUUAAAAAUUAAAAAAGCCCAUUCUCAUUUGGUGAUUUUCAGAAAACUAGGUACUUAAAUGAUACAAAAACAUCAAAAUAAAACUAGUUUUCAUAUAUUGUGCAUGAAAUAUUUAAAAGUUAAAAAUUUUCCGCGCUUGUAAAACUGCGACAACAAACUAUCGCUUGAAAAAAAAAACUUGCUGUUUUUAUCAAUUUAUGGCGCUUCAUCUGGUGGAACUUGACAAAAAUACAUGUGAUUGAACAUACUUGAUUUCCAAACACACAUUCCAGUUGCAGGUUUUACAACAACAGCCGUUUAAAAAACUUUUUCUUCGUCUUUUUUUUCAUCUUAUAAACGAACGAAGUUGUUUUGCAAAAACAAUCG